UGGGGACACCCGCCCAGUCAGGCCUAACACAUGCAAGUCUAGGCCUUGUACACACCGCCCAGUCAGGCCUAACACAUGCAAGUCUAGGCCUUGUACACUCCGCCCAGUCAGGACUAACACAUGCAAUUCUAGGCCUUUGACACUACCGCCCAACCAGGGCUACCAUCUGUAACUGGUCUGAUUGGAUCAUCCGUCACACUGGAACUGAGACACGGUCCAGACUCCUACGGGAGGCAGCAGUGGGGAAUAUUGGACAAUGGGCGAAAGCCUGUUCCAGUCAUGUCCGCGUGUGUGAAUAAUGUCUUCUGAUUG
RNAcentral lists this ribosomal RNA (312 nucleotides) under uncultured bacterium. RNAcentral's name for it is "partial 16S ribosomal RNA". It matches the Rfam family "Bacterial small subunit ribosomal RNA", at positions 1 to 425 of the family's 1533-position model. The record is from RNAcentral.